UGUGCUGCGCCAAGGGCGUCCCGAAAAACGUUGGCACUACCUUAAAGGAUGGCGGUUUUGAGGUCUCCCGCUGGCACUUUCCCGACCUCAAAGAUCAGGACGUGGACUGGUUGUCACACAUCCUGUCAUCAUAUUCCGACAACCGCCAUCAAAAUGUGGAGCUUGUCCUCCCGAGGGAUCGUCUCACUGACGUAGGCGCUCGUCAGCUGUUUCAGAAGAUACCAAAUAUUCGUGUGUUGUACCACGAGCCUAACGCCGCGCACCUCACGGCAGCUUGUAGGGAUGUUCACGCUGCUGCGGAUUGCAUCGAGUUGUCAACCACCAACAUUCUUCAAUGGAUAUAAUAUCUCUAUCCAAAGUUAGGGUUAGACUAGAAGACAUAAUCAACGACAACUAGAAAUUUUCAUUUUACAUUUAGAUUUUAAUUAGCAUGAGGUUCAUAAAUAAAAAAUAUCUUUUGAGAGCGAAUAGUUUUAACGGCGUAGAGGCCUUCAUUAAUAAGCAUGUGUAUUUUCAUAACAUUACUUUCGGCAGUGAAUUAUUUAACUUGUUUUUGUUAUCAAGUCGUAAAAUUUGUAUGUUGGCUCAUGCAAUUACUUCUUACCUUUUUCGAAGCUUUAAAUUUAAAUAUUAAGCAGAA
Long non-coding RNA from Hyalella azteca, 640 nucleotides. RefSeq lists it as uncharacterized. The transcript has 2 exons. The record is from RefSeq and is a predicted model, not a curated record. NCBI's taxonomy places the organism in Eukaryota, Metazoa, Arthropoda, Malacostraca, Amphipoda, Hyalellidae.